CCUACGGGUGGCAGCAGUGGGGAAUAUUGCACAAUGGGCGCAAGCCUGAUGCAGCCAUGCCGCGUGUGUGAAGAAGGCCUUCGGGUUGUAAAGCACUUUCAGCGGGGAGGAAGGCGUUAAGGUUAAUAACCUUGGCGAUUGACGUUACCCGCAGAAGAAGCACCGGCUAACUCCGUGCCAGCAGCCGCGGUAAUACGGAGGGUGCGAGCGUUAAUCGGAAUUACUGGGCGUAAAGCGCACGCAGGCGGUCUGUCAAGUCGGAUGUGAAAUCCCCGGGCUCAACCUGGGAACUGCAUUCGAAACUGGCAGGCUAGAGCCUUGUAGAGGGGGGUAGAAUUCCAGGUGUAGCGGUGAAAUGCGUAGAGAUCUGGAGGAAUACCGGUGGCGAAGGCGGCCCCCUGGACAAAGACUGACGCUCAGGUGCGAAAGCGUGGGGAGCAAACAGGAUUAGAUACCCUAGUAGUC
Molecule: ribosomal RNA, 465 nt
Filed under: uncultured Klebsiella sp.
Lineage: Bacteria; Pseudomonadati; Pseudomonadota; Gammaproteobacteria; Enterobacterales; Enterobacteriaceae
Description: bacterial SSU rRNA
Rfam family: Bacterial small subunit ribosomal RNA
Source: RNAcentral